UACAGAGGUCUCAAGCGUUGUUCGGAUUCAUUGGGCGUAAAGGGUGCGUAGGCGGCGCGGUAAGUCGGGUGUGAAAUCUCGGAGCUUAACUCCGAAACUGCAUUCGAUACUGCCGUGCUUGAGGACUGGAGAGGAGACUGGAAUUUACGGUGUAGCGGUGAAAUGCGUAGAUAUUGCUCGGAAGGCCAGAGCCGAAGGGGCCCUACUGGUGCGCAACUGACACUGAGGCACGAAAGCGUGGGGAGCAAACAGG
This 253-nucleotide ribosomal RNA is filed under the name uncultured prokaryote. RNAcentral describes it as "partial 16S ribosomal RNA". It matches the Rfam family "Bacterial small subunit ribosomal RNA", at positions 524 to 776 of the family's 1533-position model. The record is from RNAcentral.